RNAcentral lists this long non-coding RNA (930 nucleotides) under Lathyrus oleraceus (garden pea). RNAcentral describes it as "Pisum sativum (pea) long non-coding RNA (PSAT_LNC000119)". Lineage: Eukaryota; Viridiplantae; Streptophyta; Magnoliopsida; Fabales; Fabaceae. The record is from RNAcentral.
UGUAUCUGCAAUGCAUCAACACAGUGGUGUGAGCAAGGCAGAUGACACACUGAAUAGUGGGGGAUAGGUUGCAUAUCCCUACCUUCCACCAAUUGCCUCUUCACUUAGGAGGUCUUUGACUCUAUGCAAGGACAAAAGUAAACACACAAACAUUGCCCUUAAGGAGGACUUCAGACAGUUGCCUGGCCAAGUAACAGGCCAGGUCUUCCAGACUACAUGAAGUAGAAGAGACAUACCUCAAUGCAAAUUGCUUAUACAAGCAAAGCCAAAGCAAAAGUUCACAAGGAACUAAGCAACUAAAGCACCUGAAACAGUCAAGCAGUGUUAGUAUACAACUUCAAACAAAACAGACAGAAACAGACAACAACAGUCCAUUAGAGGGCACAAGGAUGUGCAAGGCAUAAGGCUUAGGGCAUGUGAGCCAAGCCACCUACAAAACAAAGAGGUUAGACAAUGAUACUUGGGUAAGCUCAAUCAAAAGAAUUGGUCUCAAUGGCCAUUUGAUGGUCAACCUGAAAUCACAAACUCAAAGGUGAGUAAUAGGACCACUAGGGCAAGCCUAGGGUCAAAAAUGAAUGAGAAAGUCAAAGCAGCAAGGGGCAAGUAUCCCAAAUCAUGCUCAACCCACUAGGAAACACAACCAAUUGGAUUCACACUCAUAUCAAUCCUCAUCAUCAUUUCAUGAACCAUUUAGAUCAAAACAUGGCAAACAGAAGCUCAUAGAAGUCAACAGCAAGACUUAACUCAAAAGUCAACUCAAACAUUUCCAAAAAUCACCAAAUAAAUCAUGGUCAAACCUAACACAUAGCAUGGUAAGCAUGUCAAAUUCCAUCUCACUUGGACAAGUUUAGGAGGUCAAAACAUUUAAUCGGGACUUUGUCAGAAUUAAAUCGAGCACUGUGCGAAAAAAUUAUCCUAAGUGUCUAAGGG